This 165-nucleotide ribosomal RNA is filed under the name uncultured bacterium. Its description in RNAcentral is "partial 16S ribosomal RNA". It matches the Rfam family "Bacterial small subunit ribosomal RNA", at positions 1335 to 1500 of the family's 1533-position model. The record is from RNAcentral.
CUAGUAAUGGCAGGUCAGCAUACUGCCGUGAAUACGUUCCCGGGCCUUGUACACACCGCCCGUCACACCAUGAGAGUUGGGAAUACCCGAAGCCUGUGAGCUAACUUUAAGAGGCAGCAGUCGAAGGUAGAAUCAAUGAUUGGGGUGAAGUCGUAACAAGGUAAC